UACGUAGGGGGCAAGCGUUAUCCGGAAUUAUUGGGCGUAAAGGGCGCGUAGGCGGUUUUUUAAGUCGGAUGUGAAAGCCCUGGGCUCAACCUGGGAACUGCAUUCGUGACUGGCAGACUAGAGUAUGGCAGAGGGAGGUGGAAUUCCACGUGUAGCAGUGAAAUGCGUAGAUAUGUGGAGGAACACCGAUGGCGAAGGCAGCCUCCUGGGCCAAUACUGACGCUGAGGCACGAAAGCGUGGGGAGCAAACAGG
RNAcentral lists this ribosomal RNA (253 nucleotides) under uncultured bacterium. Its description in RNAcentral is "partial 16S ribosomal RNA". It matches the Rfam family "Bacterial small subunit ribosomal RNA", at positions 524 to 776 of the family's 1533-position model. The record is from RNAcentral.